This 515-nucleotide ribosomal RNA is filed under the name uncultured bacterium. RNAcentral describes it as "partial 16S ribosomal RNA". It matches the Rfam family "Bacterial small subunit ribosomal RNA", at positions 28 to 523 of the family's 1533-position model. The record is from RNAcentral.
GAUGAACGCUGGCGGCGUGCCUAAUACAUGCAAGUCGAGCGAAUGGAUUAAGAGCUUGCUCUUAUGAAGUUAGCGGCGGACGGGUGAGUAACACGUGGGUAACCUGCCCAUAAGACUGGGAUAACUCCGGGAAACCGGGGCUAAUACCGGAUAACAUUUUGAACCGCAUGGUUCGAAAUUGAAAGGCGGCUUCGGCUGUCACUUAUGGAUGGACCCGCGUCGCAUUAGCUAGUUGGUGAGGUAACGGCUCACCAAGGCAACGAUGCGUAGCCAACCUGAAAGGGUGUUCGGCCACACUGGGACUGCGACACGGCCCAGACGCCUACGGGAGGCAGCAGUAGGGAAGCUUCCGCAAUGGACGAAAGUCUGACGGAGCAACGCCGCGUGAGGGAUGAAGGCUUUCGGGUCGUAAAACUCUGUUGUUAGGGAAGAACAAGUGCUAGUUGAAUAAGCUGGCACCUUGACGGUACCUAACCAGAAAGCCACGGCUAACUACGUGCCAGCCGCCGCAGUAA